CUGACCUCGAAUCAGGUGGGACUACCCGCUGAACUUAAGCAUAUCAAUAAGCGGAGGAAAAGAAACUAACANGGAUUCCCCUAGUACGGCGAGUGAAGCGGGAUGAGCUCAAAUUUAAAUCUGGUAGCCUUUGGUUGCCCGAGUUGUAAUCUA
This 153-nucleotide ribosomal RNA is filed under the name uncultured Cantharellales. RNAcentral describes it as "partial 28S ribosomal RNA". It matches the Rfam family "Eukaryotic large subunit ribosomal RNA", at positions 1 to 152 of the family's 3401-position model. Lineage: Eukaryota; Fungi; Basidiomycota; Agaricomycetes; Cantharellales. The record is from RNAcentral.